Molecule: long non-coding RNA, 2937 nt
Filed under: Malus domestica (apple)
Lineage: Eukaryota; Viridiplantae; Streptophyta; Magnoliopsida; Rosales; Rosaceae
Description: long non-coding RNA (MDOM_LNC005352)
Source: RNAcentral
ACUCAGGGGAAGAUUUAAAAAGCCUCGGCAAACUUGCCCCCACGUAAGUCCUUGUGUAACAUUCCACAUUGCCUAGGGGAGUGAUCCUUAAAUGUAUAUUCCCAUCCUUACCUAGCACGAGGCCUUUUGGGAGCUCACUGGCUUUGGGUUCCGUAGGAACUCCAAAGUUAAGCUAAAAGAAGGCCAGAGCAUUUCCAGGAUGGGUGACCCAUUGGGAAGUUGCUCAUGAGUUCCCAGAAACAAAACCGUGAGGGAAUGGUAAGCCCAAAGCGGACAAUAUCGUGCUAUGGUGGUAGAACGGGCCCGGGAUGUGGUGGACCCAGGUCGGGAUUUGACAAAAUGAUAUCAGAGCCAAUCCCUGGCUGAAAGUAUGCCGAUAAGGACGUCGGGCCCCUGAGGGGGGUGGAUAGUGACAUCCCACAUCGCCCAGGGAAGUGAUCUUUAAAUGUAUAUUCCUAUCCCUACCUAGCACGAGGUCUUUUUGGAGCUCACUGGCUUCGGGUUCCGUAGGAACUCCGACGUUAAGCGAGAAUGAGGCCAGAGCACUCCUAGGAUGGGUGACCCACUGGGAAGUUGCUCGUGAGUUCCCAAAAACAAAACUGUGAGGGAAUGGUAAGCCCAAAGCGGACAAUAUCGUGCUACGGUGGUAGAGUGGGCCCGGGAUGUGGUGGAACCGGGCCAGGAUGUGACUGCGCUUGGUGAAAGUAUUAUGGAGAAAUCAUUCAAUGGAAGAAGCUACUUGGGAGAUAGAGGAUCGAAUGAGAGAGAUGUACCCACACUUGUUUUAUGAUUACUAGUGGAUGUAUUGGUUGUAUGUAAUUUCGAGGAUAAAAUUUUAUAAGGUGGGGAGAUUGUCACAACUCGUCCCGGAAAUGUGUGUUAUUUAUUUAACGACGGCGUGAAAUUACCUAAAUACCCUUAGACGUUGAGAAUUAUUAUGGGAUGUUGUGGUUUAGACUUAAGAUUGUGGACCAAUUAGCUAUAUUCCUCUAUUAUUGGACCCAAUUAGAACUAAGUGUUCUCUUAGUUGUGAUUGGUGGCUUUUGGACCACACACCCACCUAUCUUCUCUCUCCUUCCCGUUUCAUCUCUCUCUCACAGACUCUCUCUUUCUCUAUCUCUUCUCUCUUGUACGGACAACUCUCAAGCACUAUCUACCAUUCACAGAUUGAGGAAUUUAAAGUCACUAUCGUCUUCCUGGUGACUCCACGAGUCGAAUAGUAAGCCCAAAACGGACAAUAUCGUGCAACGGUGGUGGAACGGGCCCGGGAUGUGACAAAUGGUAUCAGAGUCAAUCCCUGGCUAGAAGUGUGCCGAUGAGGACGUCGGGCCCCUAAGGGGGUGGAUUGUGACAUCCCACAUCGCCUAGGGGAGUGAUCCUUAAAUGUAUAUUCCCAUCCCUACCUAGCACAAGGCCUUUUGGGAGCUCACUGACUUCGGGUUCCAUAGGAACUUCGAAGUUAAGCGAGAAGGAGGCCAGAGCACUCCCAGGAUGGGUGACCCACUAGGAAGUUGCUCGUGAGUUCCCAAAAGCAAAACCGUGAGAGAAUGGUAAGCCUAAAGCAGACAAUAUCGUGCUACGGUGGUAGAGCGGGCGCGGGAUGUGGUAAACUCGGGCCGGGAUGUGACAAAUCGAAUGGUAAGCCCAAAGCGGACAAUAUCGUGCUACGGUGGUAGAACGGGCCUGCGAUGUGGUGGACCCAAGCCGAGAUGUGACAAAUGGUAUCAGAGCCAAUCCCUGACCGGAAGUGUGUCGAUGAGGACGUCGGGCCCCUAAGGGGGGUGGAUUGUGACAUCCCACAUCGCCCAAGGGAGUGAUCCUUAAAUGUAUAUUCUCAUCCCUACCUAGCACGAGGCCUUUUGGGAGGUCACUGGCUUCGGGUUCCGUAGGAACUCCGAAGUUAAGCGAGAAGGAGGCCAAAGCACUCCCAGGAUGGGUGACCCAUUAGGAAGUUGCUCGUGAGUUCCCAAAAACAAAACCGUGAGGGAAUGGUAAGCCCAAAGCGGACAAUAUCGUGCUACGGUGGUAGAGCGGGCCCGGGAUGUGGUGGACCCAGGCCGGGAUGUGACAAAUAGUAUCAGAGCCAAUCCCUGCCCGGAAGUGUGUCGACGAGGACGUCUGGCCCCUAAGGGGGGUGGAUUGUAACAUUCCACAUCGCCCAGGAGGGGAGUGAUCCUUAAAUGUAUAUUCCCAUCCCUACCUAGCACGAGGCUUUUUGGGAGCUUACUGGCUUCGAGUUCCGUAAGAACUCCGAAGUUAAGCGAGAAGGAGGCCAGAGCACUCCCAGGAUGGAUGACCCACUGGGAAGUUGCUCGUGAGUUCCCAAAAAUAAAACCGUGAGGGAAUGGUAAGCCUAAAGCCGACAAUAUCGUGCUACGGUGGUGGAACGAGCCCGGGGCCGGGAUGUGACACCUUGUGCUUAUAUAAGUUUGAUUACAGUGGCAUGUUGAUUACCGUCUUGUUGUUAAGAUCCUACGUAAAGAGAAUUGCUCGAUCGAUAUCAAACAACUUAGCUUGAUCCUUAUGAUAACCGUCAUUUUCUUGCUUUGCGUUUGUUAAUUUCUUUUCAUUUAUGAUAACCACGAUUUGGUAAUAUAUCAACCUUCAUAAUUAAUGAUGUUUAUGUAUCAGCUUGUCUGAUGGCUUAUCAUUUAUUAAUUUGUAUUCGUAUUGAUUCAUUCAUGAUCGUUGAUGUUUUAUUGGACAGAAUUGAGAAGGCAAAGCUUGGAUUUGGCAUGAAGGUCCCCAGAAUGGCUGUGUGAACAUUCACUUUGCGAUUUAAAUCUUGUAUGCUUCGAGUCUUUAAAGAUGAUAAUGACAUGUCAAUCACCGUUUAAAUUCUUGGCGUGUUCUUGGAUCCUAUGUGUUUGUUAGUUGUUCAUAUGUUUGCAUCUCUGCGAAUGUAGGUGAUAUGUACAUUGUAUCAUCCAGUUGUGU